RNAcentral lists this ribosomal RNA (372 nucleotides) under uncultured organism. Its description in RNAcentral is "bacterial SSU rRNA". It matches the Rfam family "Bacterial small subunit ribosomal RNA", at positions 526 to 896 of the family's 1533-position model. The record is from RNAcentral.
CAGAGGUGGCAAGCGUUGUUCGGAAUUACUGGGCGUAAAGGGCGCGUAGGCGGCCAUCUAAGUCAGACGUGAAAUCCCCCGGCUUAACCUGGGAACUGCGUCUGAUACUGGAAGGCUCGAGUUUGGGAGAGGGAUGUGGAAUUCCAGGUGUAGCGGUGAAAUGCGUAGAUAUCUGGAGGAACACCGGUGGCGAAGGCGGCAUCCUGGACCAACACUGACGCUGAGGCGCGAAAGCUAGGGGAGCAAACGGGAUUAGAUACCCCGGUAGUCCUAGCCCUAAACGAUGAAUGCUUGGUGUGGCGGGUAUCGAUCCCUGCCGUGCCGAAGCUAACGCAUUAAGCAUUCCGCCUGGGGAGUACGGUCGCAAGGCUG